UUAUUGGUUGUUGGUGUUCAAGUGUUUAUUGCUUUCAUAAUAAUUACUGAAACAAAGGCACAGAUGGAUAAAAAUGAUCAAGAUAGAAACUGUGACAUAAGUUCACUGUUCUUGUGCAUGUAUAUAUCCUCUCUCAAUGUCUUGUUACAAGACGGUGUCAAUAUCUUGGCUGUUAAUUAUGGUUCUCCUGGUGCAUGCCCAUAUCCUUGGCAAUUGAAACUCGUAAGUUUGGGCCAACAUUUUUUUACUCUCUCUCUCUCUCUCUCUCUCUCUCUCUCAUGGAUUAUUGUCAUUGCAAUUUUAUUGCAUUUAUUGAGAAAGAAUGCUGAAGCUACAUUAGAUGUCUUU
Camellia sinensis is the source of this 348-nucleotide non-coding RNA. Lineage: Eukaryota; Viridiplantae; Streptophyta; Magnoliopsida; Ericales; Theaceae. The record is from RefSeq and is a predicted model, not a curated record.